AGACUUUGAUCCGUGGCUCAGAUUGAACGCUGGCGGCAUGCCUUACACAUGCAAGUCGAACGGCAGCACGGAGCUUGCUCUGGUGGCGAGUGGCGAACGGGUGAGUAAUAUAUCGGAACGUACCCUAGAGUGGGGGAUAACGUAGCGAAAGUUACGCUAAUACCGCAUACGAUCUAAGGAUGAAAGUGGGGGAUCGCAAGACCUCAUGCUCGUGGAGCGGCCGAUAUCUGAUUAGCUAGUUGGUAGGGUAAAAGCCUACCAAGGCAUCGAUCAGUAGCUGGUCUGAGAGGACGACCAGCCACACUGGAACUGAGACACGGUCCAGACUCCUACGGGAGGCAGCAGUGGGGAAUUUUGGACAAUGGGCGAAAGCCUGAUCCAGCAAUGCCGCGUGAGUGAAGAAGGCCUUCGGGUUGUAAAGCUCUUUUGUCAGGGAAGAAACGGUGAGAGCUAAUAUCUCUUGCUAAUGACGGUACCUGAAGAAUAAGCACCGGCUAACUACGUGCCAGCAGCCGCGGUAAUACGUAGGGUGCAAGCGUUAAUCGGAAUUACUGGGCGUAAAGCGUGCGCAGGCGGUUUUGUAAGUCCGAUGUGAAAUCCCCGGGCUCAACCUGGGAACUGCAUUGGAGACUGCAAGGCUAGAAUCUGGCAGAGGGGGGUAGAAUUCCACGUGUAGCAGUGAAAUGCGUAGAUAUGUGGAGGAACACCGAUGGCGAAGGCAGCCCCCUGGGUCAAGAUUGACGCUCAUGCACGAAAGCGUGGGGA
RNAcentral lists this ribosomal RNA (765 nucleotides) under uncultured bacterium. Its description in RNAcentral is "bacterial SSU rRNA". It matches the Rfam family "Bacterial small subunit ribosomal RNA", at positions 8 to 767 of the family's 1533-position model. The record is from RNAcentral.